Molecule: non-coding RNA, 73 nt
Organism: Stegodyphus mimosarum
Lineage: Eukaryota; Metazoa; Arthropoda; Arachnida; Araneae; Eresidae
Source: Rfam
GCCUUCGUGGUGUAAUGGUCAGCACACUGAGCCGGUAUUUCAGAGGUCCGCGGUUCGAUCCCCGGCGAAGGCC